This is an RNA transcript of Polistes canadensis, 1889 nucleotides long. It is a transcript of the gene named RNA-binding protein 4.1-like, with no coding region annotated. The record is from RefSeq and is a predicted model, not a curated record. NCBI's taxonomy places the organism in Eukaryota, Metazoa, Arthropoda, Insecta, Hymenoptera, Vespidae. The transcript is spliced from 10 exons.
GCAUAUAAGCCCGACGGUUUAACCGAAGAUUCGUACGGUAAUAACUGUUGUAAUCGUCAGACGCCAUUUUGUGCCUCGUUUCGCUGUUGAGCGUCACGAAAGUUUCAUCCUUUUUAUUUUAAUUUAAUUUCGCCAAAACGUCGCAAUUACAUAAAAUGGUGUCUUCUAAUCAACCGAGAAAAACAAAAAUAUUUGUGGGGAGGUUACCAGAAAAUUGUCGCAACGAUGAGUUGCGACAAUUAUUUUCACGGUUUGGCGAGGUGACGGAAUGCGAUGUUAUGAAUCGAUAUGGCUUCGUACACAUGGCACGAGAGGAAGAUGCAGCUGCAGCCAUCAAGGCACUCCAUAAUUCUAAUUUCAAGGGGGCAACCAUCAACGUAGAGCAGUCAACUGGGAAGUCACGCGGAGGCGGUGGAGGACGCAGGGAUGGAGACAGAAGAGGCGGACCUAUGAGAGGUGGUAGAGGAGGACGAGACGGUGGUAGAGACGCUCGUCCUGGACCAUACAAUGAUAGAAGAGUUCUUCCGAUCCAACUCGUUGGUUACGAUGGAUCUGCUGCAGGUGGCGUCGCAGCUGGCUAUACCGAUUACAAUCGUGGUGCUGGGGACUUUAGUGGACGAGGGACUGACUUUGGCACUGGGUAUACCGACCGUGGAGCUUAUGGCCAGAACGUGGGAACUGCUGCGAUGGGAUACACUUCGACGGCGCCAGGGAUGGGUGGAGGCUAUGGACCUGCUGCUGCUGUAGGAGGAUAUGGCCCAACAGGAACAGCUGAUUAUGGCAGGACUGCUGAUUAUACCCGUGCUGCUGAUUUUGGAGCGAGAACAGAUUAUGUUGGAGCUGGUAUGGCAGGAGAUUUUAACCGUGGAGCACCAGGUCCAGUUGAUUAUGGUCGUACAGAUAAUUUUGGGGCAAGUCGCACAGUUGAUUAUACUGCAAGAAAUGAUUAUGAUCGUUCUGCGACCGGACCAAUGAGAAAUGGCGGUGCUGCUGUUGCCACAACAGGAUAUGGUACUGGAUACACUGAUGUUGGAUAUGAUGAGAGUCAUUGGCCAAUGAGUACUGGUUCCAGCUAUAGUACCGGUGCUCCCAGUUAUAAUACUGGUCCUGGACCACAAGCGGAUAUGUUUAGUAGAAGACCUGGUAGUGCCGUUCCCAGUGGUGGAUACCCACCUGUUGGUGGAGGCUAUACCGAAGGAUACGACAGACCUGAUGCAUACGGACCUCCUCCACGUGGCGGCGGCCGCUUCCCAGGUCCGGCAGAUGCGAUGCCACCGAGAUUACAAACUGGCUGAGAAGAGAAGAAACUGCUCAACUUUAAGAUGAGAACUCAAGGAAGCUGAACUUUGAAAUGAAUACUACGAGGAGCGAUACCACCAUGAGUACUUACUUUACCAGAUUGUUGGAUACAUUUGGCCAUUGGAUAUGGACAACUAUACGAGCAUAAAGAAUGAAAUGUAUCAAAGACAGACAGUACGGAUUUAGGAAAGGACGGGUUGACAUUAGGAGCUAAUAACGAUCUUCUUAAAGUCUACCGAAGAACUGAAGAGACCUAUCACGCGACGCGAUGCAUAGUUGUAUUAGCAACCAUAGAUGUUAAAAACACGUUUAACACAGCGAGGUGGGCAGAUAUGCAAACUAUAAAGGUCUUCAAUGUGUUACUCUAUUUUUGGGAUAUGCUAAAGGACCUUCACCUAUGGGAACGACAAAUUCCAGGAGUGAUUCUCAUCGAUUUUCUAGCGGCUGAACGUAAAAGGAUCUUUGAGAGAGACAGUGAUGAGACGGAUCGCAACUAAACAACAGUAGACGAAAGGUGACAGACAUUCAACUUUUCGAGGGAAAAAAAAAAUAAUAAAAAGAAGAAAUAGUCCUUGUCAGUUUAAUUUCAG